CCUAGAGUACUCUUUUGGGGGCAGAGUACUCUCUGACUAGUAACUCAGAUGCUAUAUGAUGAAAAGGAAAUCUUACUAUUACAAUUAUGUCAAAGUUUUUGAAUAACAAAAGGCGUCUAAAGAGUAGUUGUAACCCCAAGUUAAUCAAAUUCAUACACAAAUCAUAAAUAAAUAAAAAAUCCUAAUUUAGAUUUAAUUUUUUUGUUCUCUAAAAGAUAUUACUUUAAAUUAUGUCUGUUCUUAUAUGUUUUCCUGUUUGUCUUCCCUCCAGUAGUUACUUCAAGUUGAAUGGUUUUUCUUUAUAAUAAAUACUUAAAGUUGUGAACAUCUAGGUCCACACAAGAUUCAAGGGAUUGAUGCUGGUUUUGUCCCUGAAGUAUUGGAAGUUAGCCUUGUAGAUGAAGUAGUUCAAAUAUCAAGUGAUGAAGCAAUAGAAACCGCAAAGCUUCUUGCACUUCAAGAAGGCCUAUUUGUGCUGGUGCGAGUACAUCAACUGCAAGCCCGAGUAAGUUAAUAAUGACCAAUAUUGCCAUUAAAGACAAUAUGAAUGGUAUGUACUAAAUUUGCCUUUAUAUAUGAAUGGAGUGUAGAAAGUGGCAGAAGACCUAUGAAAUUGUUUUGGUUGGUUAGAAGAUCAAGAUAGCUUUGUUUCUUUGUUUUCUUAGUGUCCCUUUUAAGGACUUAAUUUCCUAUACUUGAUUUCAACAAUUAUUUAUUUAUUUUCUUUAUUUGGAAUUCUAAUGUUUUGUUUUAUUUUAAUUUUGGGAAUUUGCCCGUUCUUGAGGGUUCUAGAUGAUUAAAGGUAAUUGGUUAAUCGUGUUUUUUUUUGUCAUGUAAUUAGUAAGGAAUAGGCGGCUCUGUAGUGUGAAUUGUUUAGGGUUGUAGUUUGUGAUUGUGGGGGAACUUCUUGAGUUUGGUUCAAUUAAAAUGGGAAAAGAAAUCCUGAAACUUGUAGUUCCAUUGUAGCAACAACAUCUUUCUGGGGAUUGUGGAUUAGGCA
Long non-coding RNA from Glycine soja, 1000 nucleotides. RefSeq lists it as uncharacterized. Lineage: Eukaryota; Viridiplantae; Streptophyta; Magnoliopsida; Fabales; Fabaceae. The transcript is spliced from 3 exons. The record is from RefSeq and is a predicted model, not a curated record.